UACGUAGGUGGCAAGCGUUGUCCGGAAUUAUUGGGCGUAAAGCGCGCGCAGGUGGUUUCUUAAGUCUGAUGUGAAAGCCCACGGCUCAACCGUGGAGGGUCAUUGGAAACUGGGGAACUUGAGUGCAGAAGAGGAAAGUGGAAUUCCAAGUGUAGCGGUGAAAUGCGUAGAGAUUUGGAGGAACACCAGUGGCGAAGGCGGGUCUCUGGGCAUUUCCUGACGCUGAGGCGCGAAAGCGUGGGGAGCAAACGGG
RNAcentral lists this ribosomal RNA (253 nucleotides) under uncultured bacterium. RNAcentral's name for it is "partial 16S ribosomal RNA". It matches the Rfam family "Bacterial small subunit ribosomal RNA", at positions 524 to 776 of the family's 1533-position model. The record is from RNAcentral.